AUACGUAGGUGACAAGCGUUAUCCGGAUUUACUGGGCGUAAAGGGCGUGUAGGCGGUCUUGCAAGUCAGAAGUGAAAUUCCUGAGCUCAACUCGGGCGCUGCUUCUGAAACUGCGGGACUUGAGUGCUGGAGGGGAUAGCGGAAUUCCUAGUGGAGCGGUAAAAUGCGCAGAUAUUAGGAAGAACACCGGUGGCGAAGGCGGCUAUCUGGACAGUAACUGACGCUGAGGCGCGAAAGCGUGGGGAGCAAACAGGAUUAGAUGCCCUGGUAGGCCACGCCGUAAACGAUGAAUACUAGGUGUAGGGGGUAUCGACUCCCUCUGUGCCGCAGUUAACACAAUAAGUAUUCCGCCUGGGGAGUACGGCCGCAAGGUUGAAACUCAAAGGAAUUGACGGGG
This 397-nucleotide ribosomal RNA is filed under the name uncultured bacterium. RNAcentral's name for it is "partial 16S ribosomal RNA". It matches the Rfam family "Bacterial small subunit ribosomal RNA", at positions 523 to 918 of the family's 1533-position model. The record is from RNAcentral.